Peromyscus leucopus (white-footed mouse) is the source of this 394-nucleotide long non-coding RNA. RefSeq lists it as uncharacterized. The transcript is spliced from 2 exons. NCBI's taxonomy places the organism in Eukaryota, Metazoa, Chordata, Mammalia, Rodentia, Cricetidae. The record is from RefSeq and is a predicted model, not a curated record.
UUAUUGUUUGUAUCUGAAAUGUCCUCCAUGGUUUCAAGUCUUGGUUGCCAGUCAGUGAUGCUACUAAGAGAUGGUGGAUUCUACUGAGGGCCCAAUGGAGGAAUAUCCUCACUGUGAUAUGCUCCCUUUGAAUCUCUGUGUUUGAGUACUCUGUGAUGCCAGAGCUAAUGGAGGAGGCUUCAGCAGCUGGUAAUGAGAUGGUGGGGUGGGGCGCCUGAUGCCUCCUGUUCAGGUGCUUUUCUACUUUUAGGAGCAUACCGGGUUGCAGCUUGUAAUUUAUUACCACAGAAUCGCCUGGAACGCCUAUGGAACUUUCUAUACUACACUGCUGUCUUUGCCCUGGUCAUGCCCCAAAGAAUCUCAAAUAUCUCAAGGGACUGCCACAAAAAUAAAU